AUGGGUAAACAGGGGGAGCAACUGCCAAGUGGCAAGCAGGGGGGAGAGCAAAAAGCGAGCAGUGAGCAGGAGGAGGAAUGGGCGAGCAGGCAGGGGAAAGCGCUGCCAAGUAGUGAGCAGGGGGGAGAGCAAAGAGCAAGUGGCAAGUAGGUGGGAGAAACAGCCAAGCGGCGAGUGGACGGAAAAAAGCAGCUGCCAAGUGAGCAUCUGAAUAUAUGAAUAUAUCUCCAAAUCCUUUGCUGGGUUGAACUUUCAUUGACGGCUUUCCAUCUACUAGUCCCAGGAUACACAGACUGGAGGUAUGAUCCUGCUAUUAAUUCUGCAUGACUAGAUCCAUUGAUUUCCACAACAUUUAUGCAUGAAUAACUGGGUGAAGCAUUGCAGCCUUUGACUCCAGAACUCUGAUGCUUCAGAGAAAAAGACCUUGGGUGUAUUUUAGUCUUCAGCUCCAAUAAAUACAUAUUGGGCUUUCCCACUAUGCUUAAUAAAAGCCCAAGAACUCUGUGAAUGCCAAGAAUGCAUUGUAAUGCUAUUUAUACAUCUGCCAUGCUGGCUUAAAUCU
Hemicordylus capensis (graceful crag lizard) is the source of this 562-nucleotide long non-coding RNA. RefSeq lists it as uncharacterized. The transcript has 3 exons. NCBI's taxonomy places the organism in Eukaryota, Metazoa, Chordata, Lepidosauria, Squamata, Cordylidae. The record is from RefSeq and is a predicted model, not a curated record.